GGCUUUUUGAUUAUAAUUUAAGGUCUAGCCUGCCCAAUGAUUAAUAUUAAAUGGCCGCGGUAUUUUGACCGUGCAAAGGUAGCAUAAUCAUUAGUUUUUUAAUUGAAAGCUUGUAUGAAAGGUUUGAUGAAAAAAUAACUGUCUCUAUUUAAAUUUUUUAGAAAUUUAUUUUUAAGUUAAAAAGCUUAAAUAAUUAUUAAAGACGAGAAGACCCUAUAGAGUUUUAUAUUUUUAUAAAAUUUAUUAUAUUUUAGAAUUUUUUAAUGAUUUUAUAAAUAUUAUUUGGUUGGGGUGAUUUAAAAAUUAAUUUAACUUUUUUAUUUAGUAUUACAUUGAUUUAUGAAUUUAUGAUCUUUAUUAAAGAUUGAUAGAUAAAAUUACCUUAGGGAUAACAGCGUAAUUUUUUUUAGAGUUCUUAUCAAAAAAAAAGAUUGCGACCUCGAUGUUGGAUUAAAAUUAAUUAUUGGUGUAGAAGCUAAUAAAUUAGGUCUGUUCGACCUUUAAAAUUUUACAUGAUCUGAGUUUAAACCGGUGUAA
Molecule: ribosomal RNA, 537 nt
Filed under: Echinodera minosi
Lineage: Eukaryota; Metazoa; Arthropoda; Insecta; Coleoptera; Curculionidae
Description: partial 16S ribosomal RNA
Rfam family: Bacterial large subunit ribosomal RNA (bases 388-537)
Source: RNAcentral